RNAcentral lists this ribosomal RNA (492 nucleotides) under uncultured bacterium. RNAcentral's name for it is "partial 16S ribosomal RNA". It matches the Rfam family "Bacterial small subunit ribosomal RNA", at positions 29 to 507 of the family's 1533-position model. The record is from RNAcentral.
AGUGAACGCUGGCGGUAUGCCUAACACAUGCAAGUCGAACGGCAGCACAGUAAGUGCUUGCUCUUACGGGUGGCGAGUGGCGGACGGGUGAGGUAUACAUCGGAAUCUACUUUUUCGUGGGGGAUAACGUAGGGAAACUUACUCUAAUACCGCAUACGACCUACUGGUGAAAGCAUGGGAUCUUCUGACCUUUCGCUAUUGAAUGAGCCGAUGUCGGAUUAGCUAGUUGGCGGGGUAAAGGCCCACCAAGGCGACGAUCCGUAGCUGGUCUGAGAGGAUGAUCAGCCACACUGGAACAGAGACACGGUACAGACUCCUACGGGAGGCAGCAGUGGGGAAUAUUGGACAAUGGGGGCAAGCCUGAUACAGCCGUACCGCGUGGGUGAAGAAGGCCUUCGGGUUGGAAAGACCUUUUGUUGGGAAAGAAAAGCAGCAGGUUAAUACCCAGCUGUUCUGACGGUAACCAAAGAAUAAGCACCGGCUAACUUCGUG